Molecule: ribosomal RNA, 475 nt
Filed under: uncultured organism
Description: partial 16S ribosomal RNA
Rfam family: Bacterial small subunit ribosomal RNA
Source: RNAcentral
ACUCCUACGGGAGGCAGCAGUGGGGAAUAUUGCACAAUGGGCGCAAGCCUGAUGCAGCCAUGCCGCGUGUAUGAAGAAGGCCUUCGGGUUGUAAAGUACUUUCAGCGGGGAGGAAGGCGAUAAGGUUAAUAACCUUGUCGAUUGACGUUACCCGCAGAAGAAGCACCGGCUAACUCCGUGCCAGCAGCCGCGGUAAUACGGAGGGUGCAAGCGUUAAUCGGAAUUACUGGGCGUAAAGCGCACGCAGGCGGUCUGUCAAGUCGGAUGUGAAAUCCCCGGGCUCAACCUGGGAACUGCAUUCGAAACUGGCAGGCUAGAGUCUUGUAGAGGGGGGUAGAAUUCCAGGUGUAGCGGUGAAAUGCGUAGAGAUCUGGAGGAAUACCGGUGGCGAAGGCGGCCCCCUGGACAAAGACUGACGCUCAGGUGCGAAAGCGUGGGGAGCAAACAGGAUUAGAAACCCUGGUAGUCCCAUGAU